RNAcentral lists this transfer RNA (71 nucleotides) under Bathygadus favosus. RNAcentral's name for it is "tRNA-Ser". It matches the Rfam family "tRNA". From Rfam's summary of the family: Transfer RNA (tRNA) molecules are approximately 80 nucleotides in length. Their secondary structure includes four short double-helical elements and three loops (D, anti-codon, and T loops). Further hydrogen bonds mediate the characteristic L-shaped molecular structure. tRNAs have two regions of fundamental functional importance: the anti-codon, which is responsible for specific mRNA codon recognition, and the 3' end, to which the tRNAs corresponding amino acid is attached (by aminoacyl-tRNA synthetases). tRNAs cope with the degeneracy of the genetic code in two manners: having more than one tRNA (with a specific anti-codon) for a particular amino acid; and 'wobble' base-pairing, i.e. permitting non-standard base-pairing at the 3rd anti-codon position. The record is from RNAcentral. Lineage: Eukaryota; Metazoa; Chordata; Actinopteri; Gadiformes; Macrouridae.
AAGAAAGUGACAGAAUGGCUAUGUAACUGACUUGAAAUCAGUAAAUGGGGGUUCGAUUCCCUCCUUUCUGG